AGAGUUUGAUCCUGGCUCAGAUUGAACGCUGGCGGAAUGCUUUACACAUGCAAGUCGAACGGCAGCACGGGAGCUUGCUCCUGGUGGCGAGUGGCGAACGGGUGAGUAAUGCGUCGGAACGUACCGAGUAAUGGGGGAUAACGCACCGAAAGGUGUGCUAAUACCGCAUACGCCCUGAGGGGGAAAGCAGGGGAUCGUAAGACCUUGCGUUAUUCGAGCGGCCGACGUCUGAUUAGCUAGUUGGUGGGGUAAAGGCCUACCAAGGCGACGAUCAGUAGCGGGUCUGAGAGGAUGAUCCGCCACACUGGAACUGAGACACGGUCCAGACUCCUACGGGAGGCAGCAGUGGGGAAUUUUGGACAAUGGGGGCAACCCUGAUCCAGCCAUUCCGCGUGAGUGAAGAAGGCCUUCGGGUUGUAAAGCUCUUUCAGCUGGAACGAAACGGUACGCUCUAACAUAGCGUGCUAAUGACGGUACCAGCAGAAGAAGCACCGGCUAACUACGUGCCAGCAGCCGCGGUAAUACGUAGGGUGCGAGCGUUAAUCGGAAUUACUGGGCGUAAAGCGUGCGCAGGCGGAUUGUUAAGCAAGACGUGAAAUCCCCGGGCUUAACCCUGGGAAUGGCGUUUUGAACUGGCAGUCUAGAGUGUGUCAGAGGGGGGGUAGAAUUCCACGUGUAGCAGUGAAAUGCGUAGAGAUGUGGAGGAAUACCAAUGGCGAAGGCAGCCCCCUGGGAUAACACUGACGCUCAUGUACGAAAGCGUGGGUAGCAAACAGGAUUAGAUACCCUGGUAGUCCACG
RNAcentral lists this ribosomal RNA (800 nucleotides) under uncultured bacterium. RNAcentral describes it as "bacterial SSU rRNA". It matches the Rfam family "Bacterial small subunit ribosomal RNA", at positions 8 to 799 of the family's 1533-position model. The record is from RNAcentral.